RNAcentral lists this ribosomal RNA (253 nucleotides) under uncultured bacterium. Its description in RNAcentral is "partial 16S ribosomal RNA". It matches the Rfam family "Bacterial small subunit ribosomal RNA", at positions 524 to 776 of the family's 1533-position model. The record is from RNAcentral.
UACGGAGGAUCCGAGCGUUAUCCGGAUUUAUUGGGUUUAAAGGGAGCGUAGGCGGGUUGUUAAGUCAGUUGUGAAAGUUUGCGGCUCAACCGUAAAAUUGCAGUUGAUACUGGCAUCCUUGAGUACAGUAGAGGUAGGCGGAAUUCGUGGUGUAGCGGUGAAAUGCUUAGAUAUCACGAGGAACUCCGAUUGCGAAGGCAGCCUGCUGGACUGUAACUGACGCUGAUGCUCGAAAGUGUGGGUAUCAAACAGG